GAAAUCAGUUCAGCACUAAGUCACUUUGUCUAUAUGGCAAAUGUGAGAUGCAGUGUAUGGAACAUCAAUAUUCUAGUAUGAGAAAUUAACGAUUUAAGUCCUUCUUAAAUGAGGCCAUUUACCCAUAGAGGGUGCCAGGCCCGUAUAACGUUAAUGAUUAUUAGAUGGUGUUUCCAAAGAGUCGUGUUGCUUGAUAGUGCAGCACUAAGUGGGUGGUAAACUCCAUCUAAAACUAAAUAUAACCAUGAGACCGAUAGUAAACAAGUACCGUGAGGGAAAGUUGAAAAGAACUCUGAAUAGAGAGUUAAAUAGUACGUGAAACUGCUUAGAGGUUAAGCCCGAUGAACCUGAAUAUCCGUUAUGGAAAAUUCAUCAUUAGACUUGUAAUAUUUAAACAAUAUUAUAAAAAUAGUGUGCAUUUUUUCCAUAUAAGGACAUUGUAAUCUAUUAGUUAAAAGUAAUUUAUCAAAAAAUUUUAGAUAAAUGUUUAUUUAAAUUAAGGUGCUUGCAUUUUAACACAAAAUAAAUGUCUUUAAUUUGAUAAAGUGCUGAUAGAUUUAUAUGAAUACAGUGCGUUAAUUUUUCGGAAUUAUAUAAUGGCAUGAUUAUCAUUGAUUUUUGUGUUUAUUAUAUGCACUUGUAUGAUUAACAAUGCGAAAG
RNAcentral lists this ribosomal RNA (660 nucleotides) under Drosophila nigrodunni. RNAcentral describes it as "eukaryotic LSU rRNA". It matches the Rfam family "Eukaryotic large subunit ribosomal RNA", at positions 100 to 634 of the family's 3401-position model. Lineage: Eukaryota; Metazoa; Arthropoda; Insecta; Diptera; Drosophilidae. The record is from RNAcentral.